RNAcentral lists this long non-coding RNA (506 nucleotides) under Phaseolus vulgaris (common bean). RNAcentral's name for it is "long non-coding RNA (PVUL_LNC000701)". Lineage: Eukaryota; Viridiplantae; Streptophyta; Magnoliopsida; Fabales; Fabaceae. The record is from RNAcentral.
CUCUACUCAAAUUUUGAGUGAACUUUGGAGAGCUUUUGGAGCCUUCUUCUCUAGUCUUAUCUUGAUGGAUCAUUGGAGUCCUCAAGUGGCGGCAUCACUCUCAUCUAGGAGCAUUCCACACUUCUAGUGGCGAGAUCAUCCAACAUUCUUCCAUCUUCAUGAGCACUCUCUUCUCCUUCCUUCCUUCUCUUUCAAUUGUUCAUGUUGUCUUGUGUUCUUGAGUUGUUUGGUUCAGCUUUUCUAUUUUUUUCCAGCACCUAUGUUCUGUUCUUGUCUUUUAAUUACACUUUUGUUCGGUUCAUAUGUUUGCUAAUUCAAUUCUGUUCAGUCCUUUCAAUUUUACCUCUCUUUGUUGAUUCAAUUUGACAAUAUGUGGAGCAUCCAAAUGAGUUUGGGAUUUGGUACUAGUUUUUGGUGAGUUCUUGUCUUAGAACAAUGAUCCAACUCUAAGAAAAGUGCCUCUAUAAUGUCCAGCUCAAGGUGAUUCCUAAGAAUGUCAAGAAUCA